AGCGGGUAUUAAUUUACUAAUACUGUCAGCUAAGUGGCGCACGGGUGAGUAAUAUAUAGGUAACGUGCCCUAGAGAAGAGGAUAACAUCUGGAAACGGUUGCUAAGACUCUAUAUGCCUUUAAGACAUAAGUCUGCAAGGGAAAUAUUUAUAGCUCUAGGAUCGGCCUGUACGGUAUCAGCUUGUUGGUGAGGUAAUGGCUCACCAAGGCAAUGACACCUAACUGGUUUGAGAGGAUGAUCAGUCACACUGGAACUGAGACACGGUCCAGACUCCUACGGGAGGCAGCAGUGGGGAAUAUUGCACAAUGGACGAAAGUCUGAUGCAGCAACGCCGCGUGGAGGAUGACACAUUUCGGUGCGUAAACUCCUUUUAUAUAGGAAGAUAAUGACGGUACUAUAUGAAUAAGCGCCGGCUAACUCCGUGCCAGCAGCCGCGGUAAUACGGAGGGCGCAAGCGUUACUCGGAAUCACUGGGCGUAAAGAGCGUGUAGGCGGGUUAAUAAGUCAGAAGUGAAAUCCAAUAGCUCAACUAUUGAACUGCUUUUGAAACUGUUAGCCUAGAAUAUGGGAGAGGUAGAUGGAAUUUUCUGGUGUAGGGGUAAUAUCCGUAGAGGUCAGAAUGAAUACCUGAUUGCGA
This 638-nucleotide ribosomal RNA is filed under the name uncultured Arcobacter sp. RNAcentral describes it as "bacterial SSU rRNA". It matches the Rfam family "Bacterial small subunit ribosomal RNA", at positions 65 to 718 of the family's 1533-position model. The record is from RNAcentral. Lineage: Bacteria; Pseudomonadati; Campylobacterota; Epsilonproteobacteria; Campylobacterales; Arcobacteraceae.